GAUGAACGCUGGCGGCGUGCCUAAUACAUGCAAGUCGAGCGAACGGACGAGAAGCUUGCUUCUCUGAUGUUAGCGGCGGACGGGUGAGUAACACGUGGAUAACCUACUUAUAAGACUGGGAUAACUUCGGGAAACCGGAGCUAAUACCGGAUAAUAUUUUGAACCGCAUGGUUCAAAAGUGAAAGACGGUCUUGCUGUCACUUAUAGAUGGAUCCGCGCUGCAUUAGCUAGUUGGUAGGGUAACGGCUUACCAAGGCAACGAUGCAUAGCCGACCUGAGAGGGUGAUCGGCCACACUGGAACUGAGACACGGUCCAGACUCCUACGGGAGGCAGCAGUAGGGAAUCUUCCGCAAUGGGCGAAAGCCUGACGGAGCAACGCCGCGUGAGUGAUGAAGGUCUUCGGAUCGUAAAACUCUGUUAUUAGGGAAGAACAUAUGUGUAAGUAACUGUGCACAUCUUGACGGUACCUAAUCAGAAAGCCACGGCUAACUACGUG
This 497-nucleotide ribosomal RNA is filed under the name uncultured bacterium. RNAcentral's name for it is "partial 16S ribosomal RNA". It matches the Rfam family "Bacterial small subunit ribosomal RNA", at positions 28 to 507 of the family's 1533-position model. The record is from RNAcentral.